AAGUCGUAACAAGGUUUCCGUAGGUGAACCUGCGGAAGGAUCAUUAACACUCAACUUGUGCUGGCCGGCUCGUCCGCGCCUCACAUCUACUAUCCACCCGUGGUUCUGUUCCGUACCUUGGCCGCCAGGCUGAGGCUUAUCCGCUCGAUCGCUGAGCUCCAACAGGGCCAGUGGCGACGGUGGGUAAUUCCACCCGAGCUGUAUAGGUCGAGAGGCCCAACCUUUAUUUUUACUGCAUUCCAUACCUGUACUGAUCCCAUAUGCACGCGAAAGUGUGCGUAUGUUAUUGACCCCGGUCAAUAAACCAAAUACAACUCGUAGCAACGGAUGUCUCGGCUAAC
Molecule: unclassified non-coding RNA, 341 nt
Filed under: fungal sp.
Lineage: Eukaryota; Fungi
Description: partial internal transcribed spacer region
Rfam family: Eukaryotic small subunit ribosomal RNA (bases 1-46)
Source: RNAcentral